GUUAUCUAAUAUAUAUAUGUAUAUUAAAACACGAAGUCAUUUGAGCUAAAUAUUAAAGUAGAAUUAGAUAAUUUAACAAUUAGUGUAGCAAUACUAAAUUAAUAUUGAUAUUUAGGGGUGAAAGGCUUCUCAAAAUUGACGAUAUCUUGAUGGUUUGGAAAAAUAUAUAGUAUAUCUAUAGAUUAAAAAUGUUAAGGUUUUUAGUUGUCAUAAUUUAUUUUAAAUGUUCUGUUGAAUACUUAAUAGUUUCAGUUUUAGAUGAUUAAAUACCAAUUAAUUUUAAAAUAUGAUGAAUACUUACCUUUUAAUACUAAUUGUAUAAUUAAUUUAUAAUGAUCACAUCAGUAUUUUAUUAAACUUCGUUAAGGAACUCGGCAAAUAUAUUUCUCGACUGUUUAACAAAAACAUGCCUUAUGCUAUUAUUUAAGGUUAAACCUGCUCAAUGAGUAAGAAUUAAAUAGCCGCAGUACAUUGACUGUGCAAAGGUAGCAUAAUCAAUUGGCUUAUAAUUGAAGUCUAGUAUGAAUGGGAAUCCGGGGAAUAGCUAUCUAAGUUAAGAUAACAUAAAUUACUUAAUGAGUGAAAAGUCUCAUAAACAGAAGAAAGACGAGAAGACCCUAGAAAUUUUAUUAUUAAAUUCUAUAUAUUAUUUUGUUGGGGCGACAUAGUAACAAAUAACUUACUAUACUAUACAAGCUACUAAUUGAGUUGCGAGAAUAAAUUACUCUAGGGAUAACAGCAUUAUUCAAUAUGAGUUUAUGACCUCGAUGUUGGACUAGGAAAUAAUUUUUUUAGAAGAUAAAUUAUCUAAGCUCUGUUCGAGCACUACCUCCUACAUGAUCUGAGUUCAGACCGG
Molecule: ribosomal RNA, 856 nt
Filed under: Trochulus hispidus
Lineage: Eukaryota; Metazoa; Mollusca; Gastropoda; Stylommatophora; Hygromiidae
Description: partial 16S ribosomal RNA
Source: RNAcentral